Molecule: small RNA, 78 nt
Filed under: Flavobacterium aquatile LMG 4008 = ATCC 11947
Lineage: Bacteria; Pseudomonadati; Bacteroidota; Flavobacteriia; Flavobacteriales; Flavobacteriaceae
Description: Flavobacterium aquatile LMG 4008 Flavo-1 RNA
Rfam family: Flavo-1 RNA
Source: Rfam by way of RNAcentral
UUUGCGUUAGGGAUGGAAGCGGCAUCCUUUUGUGGAGCGAUAGCGGAAUAAAAGAUAAAGCGAACAGCCCGACCUGCA